GGGGUGCCUGAGGAGAAAGGGGUGCUGGUUCUUCCUUAUAUCCCCUGCCUGCCUCAGCUGGGCUCUGACCCAGCCAGCAGACUGGAGUCCUCUUCUGCAUGUGUUUCUAUAGUAACACAGCCUCAAAGUUAUCAGAAUUCAUCCCUCCAGCCUACCUGCAGGAUCUGGUACACCCCCUACUGCUCUGACACCCAGCUGCUCCAGCUCUCCUAUUGUUCUGGCCCCAUUCCCUCACAUCUGCAGCCUUGAUCGCAGCCACCUAUGCUCAGCCCAACCCCACUGGAGGCUACUGGCUGCCCUGAACCAAACAUAAGGGUGCUCAGCUGUCUUUUAAAAUUCAACUUAAACAUCAUUUCUAAGAGGCCUCUGAUGACAAUGUCUUACUUAUGCCCCUACUUACCCCAAUUGGAUGUGAGACUGACUCCCUCCUUGCUCCUAGCUUAGAAACCUUGGCAUAGUGCCUUCCUGGAAAUCCCGGAUUGCAUCUAAAACCAUGUGGCAGAGGGAGAAACAACAGACAGGCCAUCCUGAGAAGACUCAGGCUGGGACGAAAGCUCUGCUCUCCAGGGACAAAGCAGCAGGGGACCAGCCAUGCUCAGAAAUACUCCACUGGCCAGUGCACAUUUUUUUGAGCAAUUUCACUUGCUUCCACACCACCUGCCCCC
This 665-nucleotide non-coding RNA is filed under the name Pan troglodytes (chimpanzee). The record is from RNAcentral. Lineage: Eukaryota; Metazoa; Chordata; Mammalia; Primates; Hominidae.